Molecule: long non-coding RNA, 426 nt
Filed under: Neogobius melanostomus (round goby)
Lineage: Eukaryota; Metazoa; Chordata; Actinopteri; Gobiiformes; Gobiidae
Description: lncRNA (ENSNMLG00000003043.1)
Source: RNAcentral
AUGACGUCAGACGGGGAAGGGAGAUGCGGCGCUUCCGCAGACGCCUUAUCAACUUUUAUCAACAAAGAAACGGACUAACAGCAGCGGACAGAGAGAGGAGCUUCUGAAACAGGUUGAUUCCUGCUGCGCGUUGGCUCUCCCUGGUUUAGAACUGGUCUGUCCUGAUUCUUGCUCUGAGUCACAUGACUCUAAAGAAGAGGAAGAGCCUCAGUCUGUUUCCUCCGUCUGCAGCUCAGGACUCGCUGGUAAGAACUCUUGUACAUUUCUUUGUAUAAACUCUGUAUCAUGGGCUGAUUUCUGUGGUUGAAUCCGUUUAAACUUGUUUGUCUGAACUUGACUGAAGCCAAACGUGUGUCAGUUUGUGCGUCUGUUCCACUGCAGCACACGGCCCUGUGCGUAACACUGCAACAGUCAAAGAAAACUCUU